RNAcentral lists this ribosomal RNA (496 nucleotides) under uncultured bacterium. RNAcentral describes it as "bacterial SSU rRNA". It matches the Rfam family "Bacterial small subunit ribosomal RNA", at positions 29 to 532 of the family's 1533-position model. The record is from RNAcentral.
AACGAACGCUGGCGGCGUGCUUAACACAUGCAAGUCGAACGGGUUUAAUGGAUGUAGCAAUACAUUCAUUAAAUUAGUGGCGCACGGGUGAGUAACACGUAGGUAACCUACCCUUCAGUGGGGGACAACAGAGGGAAACUUCUGCUAAUACCGCAUACGAUCACGGACUGGGAUGUUCGUGGUGAAAGGAUUUAUUCGCUGAGGGAUGGGCCUGCGGCCUAUCAGGUAGUUGGUGAGGUAAUGGCUCACCAAGCCUGCGACGGGUAGCCGGACUGAGAGGUCGAUCGGCCACACUGGAACUGAGACACGGUCCAGACUCCUACGGGAGGCAGCAGUGGGGAAUAUUGCACAAUGGGGGAAACCCUGAUGCAGCGACGCCGCGUGGAGGAUGACGGCCUUCGGGUUGUAAACUCCUUUUGUCAGGGACAAUGGUGAUGGUACCUGACGAAUAAGCCACGGCUAACUCUGUGCCAGCAGCCGCGGUAAGACGUAGCGU